GGGAAGUGGGACGACGUCAAGUCAGCAUGCCUUUAUAUCCAGGGCUACACACACGCUACAAUGGUCAGUACAAUGGGUUGCCAAGCCGCGAGGCGGAGCCAAUCCUAAAAAGCUGGCCUCAGUUCAGAUUGCAGUCUGAAACUCGACUGCAUGAAGUCGGAGUUGCUAGUAAACGCAGGUCAGCUAUACUGCGUUGAAUACGUUCCCGGGGCUU
Molecule: ribosomal RNA, 214 nt
Filed under: uncultured Anaerolineaceae bacterium
Lineage: Bacteria; Bacillati; Chloroflexota; Anaerolineae; Anaerolineales; Anaerolineaceae
Description: partial 16S ribosomal RNA
Rfam family: Bacterial small subunit ribosomal RNA
Source: RNAcentral